CGAAAAUGGAAAAAGCAUUUGUUCCUCAUGCAACAUCUUGUGGAUUAACUGCGCGUUACGUUUGCUGAUAUCUUGUAACCCGUCACACUGGAGGAUCUGCCCGGAGCAGAAAAAAAGUUGGUGAAAAAGGCUUGUGCAAAAAACACAGUAUGUAUAUUAAUUGUUUGCAAAAUGAAAAAAGUCACGCAAGUUCAACUUAAACAUAAUUAUUUAUUAGAAAAGGCACUUGUUUUCAUGUUCAGUCCUAUACAAU
Drosophila miranda is the source of this 253-nucleotide long non-coding RNA. RefSeq lists it as uncharacterized. NCBI's taxonomy places the organism in Eukaryota, Metazoa, Arthropoda, Insecta, Diptera, Drosophilidae. The record is from RefSeq and is a predicted model, not a curated record. The transcript is spliced from 2 exons.